GACGAACGCUGGCGGCGUGCUUAACACAUGCAAGUCGAACGAUGAAGCCUAGCUUGCUAGGUGGAUUAGUGGCGAACGGGUGAGUAAUACGUGAGUGACCUACCUUUGACUCUGGGAUAAGCCUGGGAAACUGGGUCUAAUACCGGAUACGACCAAUCUCCGCAUGGGGUGUUGGUGGAAAGCGUUAUGGAGUGGUUUUAGAUGGGCUCACGGCCUAUCAGCUUGUUGGUGAGGUAAUGGCUUACCAAGACGACGACGGGUAGCCGGCCUGAGAGGGUGACCGGCCACACUGGGACUGAGACACGGCCCAGACUCCUACGGGAGGCAGCAGUGGGGAAUAUUGCACAAUGGGCGCAAGCCUGAUGCAGCGACGCCGCGUGAGGGAUGACGGCCUUCGGGUUGUAAACCUCUGUUAGCAUCGAAGAAGCGAAAGUGACGGUAGGUGCAGAGAAAGCGCCGGCUAACUACGUGCCAGCAGCCGCGGUAAUACGUAGGGCGCGAGCGUUGUCCGGAAUUAUUGGGCGUAAAGAGCUUGUAGGCGGUUGGUCGCGUCUGCUGUGAAAGGCUGGGGCUUAACCCUGGUUUUGCAGUGGGUACGGGCUAACUAGAGUGCAGUAGGGGAGACUGGAAUUCCUGGUGUAGCGGUGGAAUGCGCAGAUAUCAGGAGGAACACCGAUGGCGAAGGCAGGUCUCUGGGCUGUAACUGACGCUGAGAAGCGAAAGCAUGGGGAGCGAACAGG
This 740-nucleotide ribosomal RNA is filed under the name Rothia dentocariosa. RNAcentral's name for it is "bacterial SSU rRNA". It matches the Rfam family "Bacterial small subunit ribosomal RNA", at positions 28 to 776 of the family's 1533-position model. Lineage: Bacteria; Bacillati; Actinomycetota; Actinomycetes; Micrococcales; Micrococcaceae. The record is from RNAcentral.